RNAcentral lists this transfer RNA (73 nucleotides) under Colacium vesiculosum. RNAcentral's name for it is "tRNA-Trp". It matches the Rfam family "tRNA". Rfam says of the family: Transfer RNA (tRNA) molecules are approximately 80 nucleotides in length. Lineage: Eukaryota; Euglenozoa; Euglenophyceae; Euglenales; Euglenaceae. The record is from RNAcentral.
GCGUUCUUAGUUCAAUCGGUAGAACGUAGGUUUCCAAAACCUGAUGUUGUGGGUUCAAGUCCUACAGAGCGUG